UGACAAAAAGCCGCGGUGAAGUCGGACAGUUUCCAGCAGCCUUCAGUCUGUACAGGAAGUCACAGACACACUAACAUCCUGUCUGGAAUGAUGUCAAUUCAUUAAAAAAGUGAUCAGACCUGUAUGUCAGUUUGUUCUCAGUCUCCAGUUGUUUUAAUUCUGAUAGAUUAAUUUAUUAAAAUGCUUUACAGGCGAUCUGUCGUUUAUGUUCAUGGUUCAACCUCCCAUUAUAUGAAUUCUCCUGUAAAUCAGCAUCAUAUCAGUUUGACCUGUCCCCUCAACUACACAGGCUGAAUAAACUGUGUCUGACUAUAAGGUUAAUAUUUUCAGAGGAAAAAAAAUACAAGACAACAGCUUUCAUUAAGGCUCAGUCAGAUACAGUCAGGGCUUCACAUCUGUACACAUGUUAGUUUAAGUGUUAAUAUACAGUAGACUCUGUCUAGGAAAGGUCAGUUCGCCAGUUUGGCAGUACUUCAGAUUUUAUAAUUAACCAGUAUAUUUAUUUAUUUGACUGUUUUUCAUGGUUAUGUUGACCUCUUUUUCCGCUGUGUUCGUUUGUUCAUUACUGAGGAAAGGUUACAUUUAAAAUAAAAAAGUGUUCAAAUUUAACAUUUUUUUCUUCUGGUCCUUAUUUCAAAUAGGUUUUAAAAAAUUAAAUAAUUAUCGAUAUCGACUGAUAUGAAACACUUCACUUCACAGGAGUAAAAAAUGGUGUCUGACCUCAGAGUCUCCAGUUUACAGUGUGGACUCUCCAGAAAAUCACACAGCUGCUUCACUCCUGAAUCCUGCAGCUUGUUGUAGCUCAGCUCCAGCUCUCUCAGAUGGGAGGGGUUGGACUUCAGAGCUGAGGCCAGUGAAACACAGUCGAUCUCUGACAAACUGCAGCCCCU
Long non-coding RNA from Epinephelus moara (kelp grouper), 890 nucleotides. RefSeq lists it as uncharacterized. Lineage: Eukaryota; Metazoa; Chordata; Actinopteri; Perciformes; Serranidae. The transcript is spliced from 3 exons. The record is from RefSeq and is a predicted model, not a curated record.